Molecule: unclassified non-coding RNA, 356 nt
Filed under: Hevea brasiliensis (rubber tree)
Lineage: Eukaryota; Viridiplantae; Streptophyta; Magnoliopsida; Malpighiales; Euphorbiaceae
Source: RNAcentral
AAAAAAAAAGAAGAAAAACAAUGCAUUUGGAAUAUUGGCAGAGCAAAUUUAUGCCAAUAGAAAAGUGGCAGAAUUUUACAGCAGUUGCAACAAGAUCGGUAAGUUAACAAGUAACGAGAUUGAACAGAGUUCUGAUGGCAUAUAAUUCAACUUGAAUAAAAAUGCCACAUUUUGCAAUACAAUUCCAUAAUUGAUGCAAGAAUUAAAGCAACAAGCAAGUAUUGAGUUCAUCAAUAACCUGAUUGUGCAGUGUGGACAUGAUAAAUGAACAAUACAUCAACUUUCUUCUCUCUCUCAUUAUCAUGGACAGAAUUUCAUGUGCCUAUUCUAGUAAGAAGGUUUUUUUUUUUUUUUUU